GGCCCAAUGGUCUAGUAGUAUGAUACGCGCUUCGGGUUAUUCCCCUGGUUGGUGAAUCGGGAAAUGCGCGGGGUCCCGGGUUCAAUUCCCGGUUGGGCCC
RNAcentral lists this transfer RNA (100 nucleotides) under Dichomitus squalens. RNAcentral's name for it is "tRNA-Pro". It matches the Rfam family "tRNA". Rfam says of the family: Transfer RNA (tRNA) molecules are approximately 80 nucleotides in length. Their secondary structure includes four short double-helical elements and three loops (D, anti-codon, and T loops). Lineage: Eukaryota; Fungi; Basidiomycota; Agaricomycetes; Polyporales; Polyporaceae. The record is from RNAcentral.